This 331-nucleotide ribosomal RNA is filed under the name Escherichia coli. RNAcentral's name for it is "bacterial SSU rRNA". It matches the Rfam family "Bacterial small subunit ribosomal RNA", at positions 660 to 990 of the family's 1533-position model. The record is from RNAcentral. Lineage: Bacteria; Pseudomonadati; Pseudomonadota; Gammaproteobacteria; Enterobacterales; Enterobacteriaceae.
GGUAGAAUUCCAGGUGUAGCGGUGAAAUGCGUAGAGAUCUGGAGGAAUACCGGUGGCGAAGGCGGCCCCCUGGACGAAGACUGACGCUCAGGUGCGAAAGCGUGGGGAGCAAACAGGAUUAGAUACCCUGGUAGUCCACGCCGUAAACGAUGUCGACUUGGAGGUUGUGCCCUUGAGGCGUGGCUUCCGGAGCUAACGCGUUAAGUCGACCGCCUGGGGAGUACGGCCGCAAGGUUAAAACUCAAAUGAAUUGACGGGGGCCCGCACAAGCGGUGGAGCAUGUGGUUUAAUUCGAUGCAACGCGAAGAACCUUACCUGGUCUUGACAUCCA